Mangifera indica (mango) is the source of this 1303-nucleotide long non-coding RNA. RefSeq lists it as uncharacterized. Lineage: Eukaryota; Viridiplantae; Streptophyta; Magnoliopsida; Sapindales; Anacardiaceae. The transcript is spliced from 2 exons. The record is from RefSeq and is a predicted model, not a curated record.
CUGGACGGGGUCAAUGGGUGACCAGGAAGGCCCAUGGCCUAGGGUGGUGGCCUUCAUUGCACUUGGAAAGUGCACCACUCUAAGGUCUCCCCAAGUGGGAGAGCCUACGUCAUAAUUUGUGGUAGAGGGGGCCUGCGUUCGCGCGGCCCCUGUCAAUUGAGUUUGAAAAUGCUAAUAUUUGCGUGGUCUGUCUGAGGCUUCGGCCUCUGGAUGCUGCAUGUUUCUUUAACUAUCUUUUUUAAAUAAAGCAGUGAACUGAUGAACUGGUUAAGACGCGUAACUAUAAGCCCAUAGCUUUUCAGUGGAAGGCAAGCAAGAGUCAUGACUUACAACACGCCUUUUCAAAAACAGUGUCUCCUUAUUACUAUGAAAAAGUCUAAAAGAAGAGUGGAAGCUGCUGUUAACAAAGAGAGACGCGUGGGUUCUUCUUUUACUAUGUCUACACUUUCACGAUUCUUUCCUUCAAGUACAACCCUACCAGUAGGCCAUCUUUUUCAUUUUACAUUUUUAUUCAAACACACAACAAAAAAUUUUCAGCUCUCUCACUUUAAUUUAAUAUCAGAAAGAGCAUCCAAAAUUUUUAAGCUGAAAUUCAAAAUUUACCCUUCUUUUUAAUUUCGAAUUUUCAUAGAAAUUGUGCCUAACUAGAAAACACCUUUAAAAUUAGGUCUCCACCACAGAAUAGGAGCAAGUUAAGUGGCUGCUUUAUGGCGAUGUCACAUUGAUUGCAUCACAAUAUACACAAUUUUUCUGCAGAGCAGUAAAUGGGAGGAACACACAAAUAUUAUCACAACAAGAGUAUCAUUUAGAGCAAACAAAUGUACAGCAAGCAGAAGCAGUAUUAGACUCUCUAAUAUCUAUAGCUGUAUUUUGUGAAAAACAUCCAAGUUUGAACUCAUCGUUUCAUCAAUUAUGUGUAUUUCAACUUUGUGUUAUCAUUCACAAUCGAUUGAAAGACUGAUUACAGGUUUGAAUUAAUACACGUGUAUCAGCUAGAGCAGCAGAAGAGCUUGAAGUGGGAACUGUAGUACCACAUCGGUAAAAAAAGAGAAGAGGCUAUGAGGGGCUUACUAUAAAACAAGUUUUUGACAGCCUGAGAGUUCAUACCUUUCUCGGCCUUUUGGCUAAGAUCAAGUGUAGUAUCUGUUCUUAUCAGUUUAAUAUCUGAUACGUGGACCAUUGGUCCACACGAUAUUAAAUUAAUUUUUCUAGGGGAAGAGCCCACUGCAAUAGCUUGCUAUUGGGGUUCUCAAGCGUCGCCCUUGCGUUGCACUACUUCAAGGGCCAGGCGCACCCCAGCAAA